RNAcentral lists this ribosomal RNA (437 nucleotides) under uncultured Oscillospiraceae bacterium. Its description in RNAcentral is "bacterial SSU rRNA". It matches the Rfam family "Bacterial small subunit ribosomal RNA", at positions 341 to 792 of the family's 1533-position model. The record is from RNAcentral. Lineage: Bacteria; Bacillati; Bacillota; Clostridia; Eubacteriales; Oscillospiraceae.
ACGGGAGGCAGCAGUGGGGAAUAUUGGGCAAUGGGCGAAAGCCUGACCCAGCAACGCCGCGUGGAGGAAGAAGGUCUUCGGAUUGUAAACUUCUUUUAUGAGGGACGAAGGACGUGACGGUACCUCAUGAAUAAGCCACGGCUAACUACGUGCCAGCAGCCGCGGUAAUACGUAGGUGGCAAGCGUUAUCCGGAUUUACUGGGUGUAAAGGGCGCGUAGGCGGGGAUGCAAGUCAGAUGUGAAAUCUAUGGGCUUAACUCAUAAACUGCAUUUGAAACUGUGUCUCUUGAGUGUCGGAGAGGUAGAUGGAAUUCCUUGUGUAGCGGUGAAAUGCGUAGAUAUAAGGAAGAACACCAGUGGCGAAAGCGAUCUACUGGACGAUAACUGACGCUGAGGCGCGAAAGCGUGGGGAGCAAACAGGAUUAGAUACGCUGGUA